AUACGGAGGAUCCGAGCGUUAUCCGGAUUUAUUGGGUUUAAAGGGUGCGCAGGCGGAAGAUUAAGUCGGUGGUGAAAUUUUGCAGCUCAACUGUAAAAGUGCCAUUGAUACUGGUUUUCUUGAGUGUGGAUGAAGUAGGCGGAAUUUGUGGUGUAGCGGUGAAAUGCAUAGAUAUCACGAGGAACUCCGAUUGCGCAGGCAGCUUACUAAACCAUAACUGACGCUCAGGCACGAAGGCGUGGGGAUCAAACAGGAUUAGAUACCCUGGUAGUCCACGCAGUAAACUAUGAUUACUCGCUGUUUGCGAUACACAGCAAGCGGCUUAGCGAAAGCGUUAAGUAAUCCACCUGGGGAGUACGUUCGCAAGAAUGAAACUCAAAUGAAUUGACGGGG
Molecule: ribosomal RNA, 393 nt
Filed under: uncultured bacterium
Lineage: Bacteria
Description: partial 16S ribosomal RNA
Rfam family: Bacterial small subunit ribosomal RNA
Source: RNAcentral